RNAcentral lists this transfer RNA (73 nucleotides) under bacterium. RNAcentral describes it as "tRNA-Thr". It matches the Rfam family "tRNA". From Rfam's summary of the family: Transfer RNA (tRNA) molecules are approximately 80 nucleotides in length. Their secondary structure includes four short double-helical elements and three loops (D, anti-codon, and T loops). The record is from RNAcentral.
GCCGCCCUAGCUCAGUUGGUAGAGCGCCACUUUUGUAAAGUGGAUGUCGUCGGUUCAAAUCCGACGGGCGGCU